Molecule: long non-coding RNA, 1820 nt
Filed under: Marmota monax (woodchuck)
Lineage: Eukaryota; Metazoa; Chordata; Mammalia; Rodentia; Sciuridae
Rfam family: tRNA (bases 1181-1248)
Source: RNAcentral
GUUUUGAUCUCCAAUACCCAAACAAACCUCACAAGAUAAAUAAUUAGUUCCACGUAAACAGGUCCUUCAUUACUUCAUUAUGAUGGGAAGUAUUUGAAAUUGUUUCCAUAAAGUCAACUGUUUAAAUAUAUUUUUCUCAUUCAUUCUAGGAACACUCAUUGAGCAACUAGUCUGUCAGACCUAGUCUGUUAUUAGGGGUACAAGAAAUCACAUAAAAAAAAGUCUCUACAUCAAUAGUUUAGUGUGAAUCUCUUCAUUUCUACACAAAGAACACUGGUAUCAGUCUUGUUUUCUCAGAAUUAUCUGCCACGGAGGCAAGAUCUUAUAUGAAUCUCUUCACAUGAAAUAAUUAUGUACGGUUUUCAUGAUUGAGUGAAAUUUAUCUCAGAAAUGCAAAGUAGAUCUUUCAAUCAUCAGCCAACACAAUUACCACCUCACUUAAGAAUCCUGUACUAUAAUUGCCUUAUUUACAUGUCCAAUAAUUUCUUACUAGAAACUGAGCACCAUAGUUACUACAUUGUAGUGUGAUGCUACAUUCCAGUGUUCUGAGGAUUACUGCUCUACUAGACACUUUGUCUGGAUUCAAAUUGCCAAUACUUUGCAGCUAGCUAUUGGUAUCUCCGUUGUUUUCCACGACUGCUUUUAGCCUGGUUCCCAGUGGAUGGAUAUUCCCUAUUCCUCUAAUGACUCAUUAGUCAGUGAUGAGCACCAUCUUGUGGUUUCCUUGACUCUAGGGAUCCUCUUUUCAGAUUCAUCCGCUGGAUUACUGUUAUAUCCUACAUUUUAAGCUUGAAAACUUUCUGCUUUUCUAGCUGAAGGCACUCACAGUGGAAACGUCCUCCUUAGGAAGAAUUCUAUUGUUGUGCGUACAAACGCAGUCUUUAAAGGCAAAACUAUAAUUAUAUACUUUCACAGGUAUGUAGUCUUCCUUUGGCUUUAUGGGUCUCCUUCAUAGUUUUAACUGCUAGACAUGGUUCUGGGCAGUUCUACCUUAUUUCUUUGGAGAUUCUCAUUGCCAGGAUCUUCUACUUACAUUUGCAGUGGCUUUUCAACUCUUAAAUCUCUGGCCCCCUUUGCCAGGAGGCUCUGAUCUUUUUCCAAAAGUAGGGCAGCACCCUGUUAAAACCUCCUUUCAGAAGCAGGGCUUUGUUUGCUUUGAUUAAUUCCCUUUGGGGCUGAGGUUGUGGCUCAGCGGUAGAGCUCUUGCCUAGCACGUAUAAGGCCCUGGGUUUGAUCCUCAGCACAACAUAAAAUUGGAUAAAUUAAAAUAAAGGUAUUCUGUCCACCCACAACUAAAAAAUCCCCUUUGAAUCCUUUUCAGUUAUUUACUAGAAUUAAAAAAACAAAAAACAAAAAAUUAUAGUUUGUUAACUGCAAGGCAAUGUGAUAUGGGCAUAGACACUGCCAGGAUUUCAAUGUCGCUUCAAAAUUCUGCUGUUUAAAUAUAAUGGCUAAUGUGCAAGGUAUGAUGAUGCAUGUUUGUAAACCUAGUUACUCUGAAAAACUGAGGCAGAAGGAUUAAAGAUUUGAGGGGGAAAAAAAAAGCUGGGGAUUGUAGCACAAUGAUAGUGAACAUGGGUUAAAUCACAGGCCAGAAACAGAUAAUAUAAUGGCUAAUAUGAUGGCAUAUGAGUGUUGAAGCCAUGAGGGGCUUUCUCUCCAAGUGGAAUUAGUUCCCCUUAUUUGCUGCCUGCCCCCCUCACCCCCCCUUUUUAUAUAUAUAAAAAAAUAGCCUUUCUGCCUUCCACUAUGUGAAGAUGCAGUAAGGCCUUCUACUAAGCAUCAGAUGCUAGGACCCAGAUCUUGGACUUAUUCUUUAU